UACGUAGGGGGCAAGCGUUAUCCGGAUUUACUGGGUGUAAAGGGAGCGCAGACGGAACUGCAAGUCUGAUGUGAAAGCCCGGGGCUCAACCGCGGGACUGCAUCGGAUACUGUGGAUCUGGAGUGCCGGAGGGGCAAGCGGAAUUCCUGGUGUAGCGGUGGAAUGCGCAGAGAUCAGGAGGAAUACCGAAGGCGAAGGCAGUCUUCCAAGCCGUUAUUGACGCUCAACUGCGAAGGUGUGGGUGUCAAACAGGAUUAGA
RNAcentral lists this ribosomal RNA (259 nucleotides) under uncultured prokaryote. RNAcentral's name for it is "partial 16S ribosomal RNA". It matches the Rfam family "Bacterial small subunit ribosomal RNA", at positions 524 to 782 of the family's 1533-position model. The record is from RNAcentral.